RNAcentral lists this small RNA (116 nucleotides) under Marmota monax (woodchuck). Lineage: Eukaryota; Metazoa; Chordata; Mammalia; Rodentia; Sciuridae. The record is from RNAcentral.
GCUGGGUGCAAUGGCACAUGCCUGUAAUCCCAGCAGCUCAGGAGGCUGAGACAGGAGGACUGCCAGUCUUAGCAACUUAGCAAGGCACUAAGCAACUCAGUGAGAUCCUGUCUCUA